AGAGUUUGAUCAUGGCUCAGGAUCAACGCUGGCGGCGUGCCUAAUGCAUGCAAGUCGCACGCACGACCUUCGGGUCGCGAGUGGCGAACGGCUGAGGAACACGUACGAACCUGCCCCCCAGUGGGGAAUAACGACACGAAAGUGGCGCUAAUACCGCGUACGCUCGCAAGAGGAAAGCAGCAAUGCGCUGGGGGAGGGGCGUGCGGCCCAUCAGGUAGUUGGCGGGGUAAAGGCCCACCAAGCCUUUGACGGGUCGCUGGUCUGUGAGGACGAUCAGCCAGACUGGGACUGCGACACGGCCCAGACACCUACGGGUGGCAGCAGCAAGGAAUCUUCGGCAAUGGGCGCAAGCCCGACCGAGCAACGCCGCGUGCAGGAUGACGGCUUUCGGGUUGUAAACUGCUUUGAGGGGGGAUGAUUGUGACAGUACCCCCAAAACCAGCCCCGGCUAACUCUGUGCCAGCAGCCGCGGUAAGACAGAGGGGGCAAGCGUUGUCCGGAUUGACUGGGCGUACAGGGCGCGCAGGCGGCGCGUGACGUGGUGUGUGACAGCGCGGAGCUCAACUCCGCGUGGCCGCGCCAGACGCACGGGCUAGAGACCUAGAGAGGGCAGUGGAAUACCCGGUGGAGCGGUGAAAUGCGUAGAGAUCGGGUGGAACACCAGUGGCGAAGGCGGCUGCCUGGCUAGGAACUGACGCUGAGGCGCGAGAGCGUGGGGAGCAAACGGGAUUAGAUACCCCAGUAGUCC
This 748-nucleotide ribosomal RNA is filed under the name uncultured Chloroflexota bacterium. Its description in RNAcentral is "bacterial SSU rRNA". It matches the Rfam family "Bacterial small subunit ribosomal RNA", at positions 8 to 796 of the family's 1533-position model. Lineage: Bacteria; Bacillati; Chloroflexota. The record is from RNAcentral.